Molecule: transfer RNA, 98 nt
Filed under: Arthrobacter sp. Bi26
Lineage: Bacteria; Bacillati; Actinomycetota; Actinomycetes; Micrococcales; Micrococcaceae
Description: tRNA-Gly
Source: RNAcentral
GCCUCGUCCAGCAUGGGCAUCAUGGGCGUGACGCCGAUACCGGCGGCGAGGAAGUGGUAUUCCGGCGAUUCCACCAGUUCGAAGUUGUUCCGGGGUCC